Molecule: ribosomal RNA, 70 nt
Filed under: Burkholderia sp. SRS-W-2-2016
Lineage: Bacteria; Pseudomonadati; Pseudomonadota; Betaproteobacteria; Burkholderiales; Burkholderiaceae
Description: partial 23S ribosomal RNA
Source: RNAcentral
CAGGUGUGCACGUACAGUAAUGUACUGAGCUAACUGAUACUAAUUGCCCGUAAGGCUUGAUCCUAUAACA